UAAACUUUUGCAAUUACUUUUUCAAAGGUAUGAAGAACUGGAUGUCAGCAAAGGCCUUCGAGACAAUUUGAAAGGGAAGGUUGUCAUAGAAUACCCAACUUUGCAUAUUGUUUUGAAGAAAUUCCAGACGGAUAUGGUGAUUCUUGGCCACGAUGCCAGUAAAUCCAAUCAGGAAAACUCGUCUGAGGAAGAAGGGGAAAUCCAUGAUAGUUCCUGACAAAGCAAAAUCGGAUGUGGAGUUGGAGCAACUUGCUUUGCACCUGACUUGUUGAACAUAUAUUCAGCAAAUUAGUUUUGAGCAUUGCUUUUUAUUAAUAGUAUCCAAAACCUAUAGCUAUUUAAAAAGCACUGCAAUCUGUUAAUGUAUGUUCUACAUUAUGUUCUAAUCUAUGUUUAUAGAUUAAGGUGCCUAGCUCUAGCUUUCUUUUGUGAAAAUCACUGAUGUAACAAUUACAAUUUUACAGGACUCUGUUGCCAAUCUUUGUACGCUUGGCUGUCUUUUUCCACUUAUUGAAGUAGAAAGCUAUAAAUACUUUUAAUAAAACACCUAACUCUCCUUUCA
Podarcis muralis (Common wall lizard) is the source of this 562-nucleotide non-coding RNA. The record is from RefSeq and is a predicted model, not a curated record. NCBI's taxonomy places the organism in Eukaryota, Metazoa, Chordata, Lepidosauria, Squamata, Lacertidae.